This 330-nucleotide ribosomal RNA is filed under the name uncultured bacterium. RNAcentral's name for it is "bacterial SSU rRNA". It matches the Rfam family "Bacterial small subunit ribosomal RNA", at positions 568 to 898 of the family's 1533-position model. The record is from RNAcentral.
UUCGUAGGCGGUGCAGCAAGUCGGGAGUGAAAUCUCUGGGCUUAACCCAGAGGCUGCUUCCGAAACUGCUGUGCUGGAGUGAGGGAGAGGCGCGUGGAAUUGCAGGUGUAGCGGUGAAAUGCGUAGAUAUCUGCAGGAACACCCGUGGCGAAAGCGGCGCGCUGGACCACUACUGACGCUGAGGAACGAAAGCUAGGGGAGCAAACAGGAUUAGAUACCCUGGUAGUCCUAGCCCUAAACGAUCAGGACUUGGGGUGCCGCCCGUUCGGGCGUCGUCCCGGAGCUAACGCGUUAAGUCCUGCACCUGGGGAGUACGGUCGCAAGACUGAA